RNAcentral lists this small RNA (78 nucleotides) under Aquimarina brevivitae. RNAcentral describes it as "Flavo-1 RNA". The record is from RNAcentral. Lineage: Bacteria; Pseudomonadati; Bacteroidota; Flavobacteriia; Flavobacteriales; Flavobacteriaceae.
AUCGAGUUAGGGAUAGUAGUGAAAAUCCCGCAAGCUGAUAGUUCAGCUGAGGAAUUGUAGCGAAUAGCCCGACCCCGA